Cydia strobilella is the source of this 295-nucleotide long non-coding RNA. RefSeq lists it as uncharacterized. The record is from RefSeq and is a predicted model, not a curated record. NCBI's taxonomy places the organism in Eukaryota, Metazoa, Arthropoda, Insecta, Lepidoptera, Tortricidae. The transcript has 2 exons.
AAUUUUUUAUUGUUUGAAUGUGAGUGGUUAUAAAUGGUGGUAGGGUUAGUAUUUGUAGAACAUUUUUUGUAAACACCACUUAAAUAAUUUGGUUUUAAAACCUUGACAAUCCAAGGAUUUUAAGUCAUUUGGCAAAUGGUUGAAGAUUUUGACAGACAUGAAAAGAAUAGAUUUUUCAAAAUGAGCAGAAUUAUGACAUGGGUAACUGAUAUUGAGUCCAUGGAAUUUAGAAGUUGACCUAGGGUUAGAUUUCAUGAUGUUGUACUGACUAAUAUGAGUUUUCACAAAGAGACAU